CAACGCACCGCCAGUCAGCUCACCCGGAGGACGGCAGGCGGCGGCUCUGAUUGGUCGCUCGGACCCGUCAGUCACGCUGCCAGCUCACCGACCAAUCACGACUCAGGAAACACUGCCCGGCAUCGGAGGGAGGCGGAGCCAAGCGUUUAAAGGAGCCUCCAGCUGAUCUCACACCUGUCUAUGAACCACAGCAGCUGUUCGGUCACGUGUUCUCCGGUAACCGGCCUCCUCCGGUGUUUCUGUGAUCGUGCUGUAAAGCAGGGAGGAAGGACCUGCAGUAUCUCUUCUUCAGAACCAGUCUGUCUCUGAAGGACCUCCAGUGAUGGUUCUGGUUCCUGCAGGCGGUGGAGGUGUCCUCCAUGAUGGACAACAGCUCUGUCAUCGUCCUCCUGUCUCCACCUUCUCCACAGCAUCCAGGGUUCAGCCCAGGACAGAUCUGACUUUCUGAACCAUUUAUUCUCUUCCUGUCCUGCUCCAGCAGAUCUCCAUACAGGAUGGAUGAUGUUCCACAGAAUCAUAUAAUGUCCUCAGAAGUUUCCUGCACCUGGAAUGUCCAUAGGGACAAGAUGGGGCAGGAAAGCCCUGUGGGGGAGGGCAGGAGUGAUGGUAGGAGGUCAAGAAUGCAGUGGGGGUGGUGCAGUCAGUAGGGUGGACUGGACCAGGGGAGGGAUGGCUGUAGGACUGUACUGGGGAGGCUGUAGAACUGGACAAAAAUGAUCCAAAUAACAAAAAAGAAAUCAAGAAAAUGACUUCAAUUCACACUGAAUGUCUAAUAACUGAAAAGGGCUUGAAAAUAUUAAUUUAAAUGACAAAAAUGUCCAAAUUGACAACAAAAAAAUGUUGAAAAUGACUUGAACUUACGAUAAAUGUCUAAAAAAAACCUGAAAAGUGUCCAAAAUGACAAAAAAAAAGUUCUUAAAAUAUUUACAGAAAUGACAAAAACUGUCCUAAAUUACAAAACAUGUCCAGUGAUGUACAAAAUGUAUUCUGUAAAAAAAAAGAGAAUUUCCAGACCAUGACAAGUUGAUUUGAUCAUAAAAUGAAAUACUAUAUUGUUCUUUUGUUGUUUUGUGUCUCAUUUUUGGAACAAGUUGUUUUGUUUUCUGUUGUUUUUUGUCUUGUCUGAAUGUUGUUGUUUUGAUCAUGACUAAAUGUUGUGUGUCUUUGUAGACACUCUGAUCUGGAAGCUGUAAUGUGGAAAUGAUAAACUGAGGCAUAUUUUCACUGAAAUUGCAUUCAUUUUUUUAUUCUGAACAUUUGAAGAACAGACUUUUGUACAUGAAAACAAAGGAAAAUGUGGAGUUUUAUGGGUUAAUAUGCUGUAAUUGAACUGGUCCAGUCCACCUGAGAUCAAACUGGGCCAAAUGUGGAACCUGAACUGAAAUGAUUUUGACUCUGCUGUAGCUGAUAAAUAUACAUAUAAACAGUGGGUACGGAAAGUAUUCAGACCCCUUGAAAUUCUCACUCUCUGUGUCAUUGCAGACAUUUAUCUAACAUUAAAUAAAACAAACCCUUCCAGACCCACAUGACUCAGUAAGUGAAUGGAGGUGAAACGACCUGGAACGAUGUCAGGACGACACUGUGUGUCAUAAUGAGUUUAUAUUUCUUUGGAAUGACUUGAAACUUGUUCAGAACGACUCAAAAUUUGUCAAAAAAGUCCAGAUUGAUUCAAAAUUUUCCCAAAAUGACAAUUUUUUUACAGAAUAAAUUUUAAAAAUGGUCCAAAAUGUGAAAUCACACCCAACAAACUGUCUCCUUUUCUUUUCCUGGUGUGGCAGAACUAUUCUCCACUAAAUGACUUCAUUAAGUCUAAUUAAACACAGAUACACACUGAUGCCUGGAAUACUUCUUGCUCUACUGCAUUCCACCUCACCAACCCCACCUGAUACCUGUUUAAAGGUUUAAUUAACUGCUGAGCAGGAAGAAGAAGAAUUCCUCCUCUCACAGAUGAAGUUAAAUCCCCAGAUUAGUUCACUUUAUAUCUAGACUGUGUCUGACAGACAAAGGUUACUCAGACUGUAUCACAAAAUCAAAGUAUGGUAAGAAAACACACAUGGACAUGUUUUUGUAACACCUCCUUGUGGCCACAGGAGGCACCGUUCAGCAACUCUACAGUCCAGCUGGACAGCGUUGGAAUCUUUAUUCUACAGCGGGUACAGAAAGUAUUCAGACUCCUUGAAAUGUUUCACUCUCUGUGUCAUUGCAGCCAUUUGCCAAAAUCAAAAAAGUUCUUUUUAUUUUUCAUUAAUGUACACUCAGCACCCCAUCUUGACAGAAAAGAACAG
This is a long non-coding RNA of Acanthochromis polyacanthus (spiny chromis), 2285 nucleotides long. RefSeq lists it as uncharacterized. The transcript has 3 exons. NCBI's taxonomy places the organism in Eukaryota, Metazoa, Chordata, Actinopteri, Pomacentridae. The record is from RefSeq and is a predicted model, not a curated record.